GGUGUAAGCCGUAAUUGUAUAUAAGAAUGUGUUCUUAACUGAAUUGCCUAGUUAAAUAUAGGUAAAACAAUGUUUUGUUAAAUACCUCCACUAUCAACAGCGACUUCCAACACGUUAACGUUUGAGUCAUUUAGCAGACGCUUUUAUCCAGAGCGACGUACAAUAGUGAGACACAACAGCUGUUUGUAUUCUGACACAUAUGGUUAAAACGCAUGGACAUGAUUUCAAGCUAUUACGUAUAUCUGGGAAACAUAAAGGGCAUGAACAAUUUGCUGGCACCGGCUGACAAGGCAUCUACUAUCGGUUGGCCAUCUGAAGACUGUCCCCAUUUCUCAAUUUCUUAGUCCUGAAGUAUCCUACACCAUUUUCCUCUUCUGUGAGCGGACAAGCGCAAAUGUAUCGAAAUAUAAUUGGGUUGGUCGUCAUGUCACUUCCACUGAUUCUGAGCCCCCACGUUUUGGGGCUCGCAACAGACGGUUUGAGCAAUCUUCAAAAUAUUGCAGGGAAGCUCAGCUUCAUUCAGAGGGAAGGAAAUGUGACUUAUCUGCGGGACAAGGAGCUGGCCACGGAAGUUCCAACCGAGACAAAGUUUGAACUGUUCGAUCCAAGGAACACUUUACGCACCGCCAGAUUCACCUAUACCUGGGACUUCGGCAACGGAGAGGUGCUGAAAGGAUCGGAGCCGUCUGUGCACUAUAACUACUCAUCCUCUGGAAACUACACUCUGCGGCUGAGAGUAGUGACCCAAGUGAACAAAAUCUCUACUCCACUAACUGGGGUAUACAGCAUGGACGUUACAGUUUUGGACGCCAUCAGAAAUAUUGAGUUGAAGAGCCCUUUGAGUUUCCAGGUUUCCAGAAACAACAGUCUGGUUGUUCAUGUGGAUGGAAGUCCUCCCAUGUGGGUCUGUUGGAGGUUCCUACAGAACUGUGUAUCAGCAAACCUAAGGCUGUCACUGACAUGCUGUAUGAGAACACCAUGAUACUGAACCACACCUUACAGCUUUAGGAGACACUGUCUGGACAUCAGCGCCGCAACGACAUCAGCAAACUGCAGACCUCCUACAACAUCUUUGUGAGGAGAGUCCCUCCAUUAACCUGCUAUUCACCCUGACAUGUACUGGGAUCAUCUUGGCAAUACUCGCCUUCAUCACUGUUAUAGCCUGUCGCACUAAGAAUGGACACAACAACAAACCACAGAUGUCUAAGUCCAGUAACGCCACUUACUCCAGCAUGAACAUGGAACUGCAGCCACAACAGGACUUCCCUGAUAUCAGUAGUGAUCUCUAUGUGUCCAGGCCAAAGAAAGAAGAGGUCCAACCCCUUCUACAGCACGGGACCAGAUCUGUCGCCAAAUCCUACCGCAACUAGUCUUCAUUUACACACUUUGUGACGGAUUCAAGUCAAAUGUUAAUAGUUUGCUAACAAUGUAUAGUUUGAGAUGAAUAUAUGUCACCAGUAACAUUGAACAACAAAUUGUCAGUGAUGUAUUACCGAUGUAGAUUACAUUCCUCUGUCUGUGUGGAUUUUAUACUUACACUAUUUUGCCUUUGAUGAUCUCAUCCUCAGACCCAGCCAAAAGCCUGACCUCAAAAACUAAAUAUCCAUCCAAGGGUUUUAGAGGAUUGAAUCCCACUAUGAUAAUAGAUGACAGCUGCCAGUAACCCUGUAGAGAACUGUCCUAAUGUGUAUUAUUACCCAGUGAUCUAUAUAUACGCUAGGUGACUGAUCAGUGGCGCUGUGUUGAAUCCACCGUGCCUCCAUUUUGGCACUCCCCCACC
Non-coding RNA from Salvelinus sp. IW2-2015, 1780 nucleotides. The record is from RefSeq and is a predicted model, not a curated record. Lineage: Eukaryota; Metazoa; Chordata; Actinopteri; Salmoniformes; Salmonidae.